CGCGUGAUGUGUUCGCACUUACGCGGUGGAACUGUUUUUCCCAACAUCCCUACUUUUCAUAGGAUUAUUUAAUUAUUGUUUUAAAAAAAACGUUAUUUUUGACUGACAUCACCUUCUUGUCCUUUUGGGGUAACUAGUAAGCAGAUGUCAAGGUAAAUGGACCAAGAGAAGCACAUUUCUAUUCUACGGUGGAUUUUCCUGGAAAAGUACACUAUGCUCAAAAUCUAUUUGUAUACUCUUAACUCUCAGGUCAGUUGUGGUAAUUUGGUCCCUGUUCUGAGAAAAACAUGAUAUAUUCACACCGUACUUACUCAACCUGCCUGCCUCUCUGAUGAAAUCACCAUUACCAGGUAAGUGAUUAAAAAGUUCACUGUAUCCAAACCUUCAUUUAGAGAGAAUUGACAAAAGCGGAUAACUUCAGAAAACCAGCAACUGUGAAAACAUUUGAACCGAGUGCAUUCUAAGUGUAUUUAUGCAAGCUGUCUAAUUUAAUUGUAUUUCUCUAAAAUUAUUUUCAUAUUCAAUAUACGAUUUGUAAGUAGAUUCAUACAUGUAAUUCAAAUCAGUCAAGAUGUGAAUUUUUGAAGAACCAUAUGAGUAAGCUGAAGCUUUCAUGCAGUUGAGUACAAAACUAUCUUUGAAAUGACUCUCAUAGGGGAGUGUAAGAAAUAAUUUACAUGACGCGUGCAAAGUGCAAAAUAACGGUGCUAAUAAUAACUAUUUCAGGCAUGACUAACUUUCAAUAUUUAUCCUGCUCUUAUUCUGAUGUUAGUUGUUUUCGUAAACCCCCAGGUUUCUGCUCGAUUCAGUAAACGCACAUGUGCUAUUGUACCAGGUGAUCCAAUACUAACAAUAAACUUCUGGUGUAACACAAGCAAGAGGACAGUGAAGCAUCUGCUGUCUAUAAGGGUAAAAUUACAGGUUGUGAAAAGAGCCCCAUGGACUUCUGGGAGAAAAAAAAUAGUGCUCCCUGACAAAAGCCUGUAACCUCCCACAUUAUAAUAUUUACUUAUGCUGUUUGCUUUGUCUGUAUGCCUUUCACUUUCUUGUUUUCUCUUUGUUAGGCACUUCAUGAGGAUAUAGGACUUUUUUUCCUAUAUACUGCCAGUAUUUUAUGCAUUUCAGAAAAUAAUUCCACUAAACCAUGCUUCUUAUAACCAGUAUUUAAAAUGGUUGAACCAGUGUUGUACUCACAGUUAGUUGACUAUGUCACAGCUCAGUGUCAUGUGUGUGCUCUACAUUCCUUUCCUGGAGAAAACAAAAAUAAAGGAUAUUUAUGAAGCACAAA
Carassius gibelio (silver crucian carp) is the source of this 1288-nucleotide long non-coding RNA. RefSeq lists it as uncharacterized. The record is from RefSeq and is a predicted model, not a curated record. Lineage: Eukaryota; Metazoa; Chordata; Actinopteri; Cypriniformes; Cyprinidae. The transcript is spliced from 2 exons.